UGGUGCCAGCAGCCGCGGUAAUUCCAGCUCCAAUAGCGUAUAUUAAAGUUGUUGCAGUUAAAAAGCUCGUAGUUGAAUUUCGGGAUCAGUAGGUCGGUCAUGCCUAUGGUAUGUACUGGCUUUACUGGUUCCUCCUUCUUGAUGAUCUGUAAUGUCAUUAAUUUGGUGUUGCAGGGAGUCAGGACUGUUACUUUGAAAAAAUUAGAGUGUUUAAAGCAGGCAUACGCUUGAAUACAUUAGCAUGGAAUAAUGAAAUAGGACGUUCGAUCCUAUUUUGUUGGUUUCUAGGAUUGACGUAAUGAUUAAUAGGGAUAGUUGGGGGCAUUAGUAUUCAAUUGUCAGAGGUGAAAUUCUUGGAUUUAUUGAAGACUAACUACUGCGAAAGCAUUUGCCAAGGAUGUUUUCAUUAAUCAAGAACGAAAGUUAGGGGAUCGAAGACGAUCAGAUACCGUCGUAGUCUUAAUCAUAAACUAUGCCGACUAGGGA
RNAcentral lists this ribosomal RNA (486 nucleotides) under uncultured Glomus. RNAcentral describes it as "SSU rRNA". It matches the Rfam family "Eukaryotic small subunit ribosomal RNA", at positions 562 to 1052 of the family's 1831-position model. Lineage: Eukaryota; Fungi; Glomeromycota; Glomeromycetes; Glomerales; Glomeraceae. The record is from RNAcentral.